AGAGUUUGAUCCUGGCUCAGGAUGAACGCUAGCGGCAGGCUUAACACAUGCAAGUCGAGGGGUAAGGCUCUUUCGGGGGUACACGACCGGCGCACGGGUGAGUAACGCGUAUGCAACCUACCUUUUACUGGGGGAUAGGCCAGGGAAACUUGGAUUAAUACCCCAUAAUACUUCGAUGCGGCAUCGCAUUGAUUUUAAAACUCCGGUGGUAAAAGAUGGGCAUGCGUGACAUUAGGUAGUUGGUAAGGUAACGGCUUACCAAGCCUACGAUGUCUACGGGGUCUUAAAGGAUGGUCCCGCACACUGGUACUGAGACACGGACCAGACUCCUACGGGAGGCAGCAGUGAGGAAUAUUGGUCAAUGGGGGCAACCCUGAACCAGCCAUGCCGCGUGCAGGAAGACGGCCCUAUGGGUUGUAAACUGCUUUUGUUCAACAGGAAGUCCCAUCACGUGUGGUGGGUUGACCGUUGUUCGAAUAAGCAUCGGCUAACUCCGUGCCAGCAGCCGCGGUAAUACGGAGGAUGCAAGCGUUAUCCGGAUUUAUUAGGUUUAAAGGGUGUGUAGGCGGAUUUUUAAGUCAGGGGUGAAAGCCCACAGCUCAACUGUGGAACUGCCUUUGAUACUGGAAGUCUUGAGUAUAGUUGAGGUAGGCGGAAUGUGCAGUGUAGCGGUGAAAUGCUUAGAUAUUGCACAGAACACCGAUUGCGAAGGCAGCUUACUAAACUAUUACUGACGCUGAUGCACGAAAGCGUGGGGAGCGAACUGGAUUAGAUACCCUGGUAGUCCACGCCGUAAACGAUGAUUACUGGUUGUGUGCCUUCGGGUACGUGACUGAGCGAAAGCAUUAAGUAAUCCACCUGGGGAGUACGUUCGCAAGAAUGAAACUCAAAGGAAUUGACGGGGGCCCGCACAAGCGGAGGAACAUGUGGUUUAAUUCGAUAAUACGCGAGGAACCUUACCUGGGCUUAAAUGUAGAGUGCAUUAUUUGGAAACAGAUAUUCCCUUCGGGGCUCUUUACAAGGUGCUGCAUGGCUGUCGUCAGCUCGUGCCGUGAGGUGUCGGGUUAAGUCCCAUAACGAGCGCAACCCCUAUUGUUAGUCGCCAGCGGAUCAUGCCGGGGACUCUAACGAGACUGCCACCGUAAGGUGAGAGGAAGGUGGGGAUGACGUCAAGUCAGCACGGCCCUUACGUCCAGGGCUACACACGUGUUACAAUGGCCGGUACAAAGGGCAGCCACAUGGCAACAUGGAGCUAAUCUCAAAAGCCGGUCUCAGUUCGGAUCGGGGUCUGCAACUCGACCCCGUGAAGUUGGAUUCGCUAGUAAUCGUAUAUCAGCCAUGAUACGGUGAAUACGUUCCCGGGCCUUGUACACACCGCCCGUCAAACCAUGGAAGCUGGGGGUACCUGAAGUCCGUCACCGCAAGGAGCGGCCUAGGGUAAAUCUGGUAACUGGGGUUAAGUCGUAACAAGGUA
This 1474-nucleotide ribosomal RNA is filed under the name metagenome. RNAcentral describes it as "bacterial SSU rRNA". It matches the Rfam family "Bacterial small subunit ribosomal RNA". The record is from RNAcentral.